Molecule: long non-coding RNA, 317 nt
Organism: Passer domesticus (house sparrow)
Lineage: Eukaryota; Metazoa; Chordata; Aves; Passeriformes; Passeridae
Exons: 3
Source: RefSeq, a predicted model, not a curated record
AGAGGCAGCUCUUGUUUAGAAACAAGUUCUUACUCAACUGACUGCAAAUAAAGAAUUGAGCAGAAAAUGCAGUACUAAGUCCACAGCACUCCAAGGUAAACCAACAGGCCACUGCUUCAGUGACAUUCCUGAGGAGAAAGACUACACAGGGAAAUGUAUAACACAGAAAUCAUCCUUUCAAGUUGUCAUUGCAAUUUAUCUCUGUACCCCUACCUGCACAGCUGAACAUAUCUGUGGUACAUAGAAUAAGUUGACAGAAUGGCAGCUCCACCUCUACCACAUUUUUUCCUGUCUGUGCAACUGGUCUGAAAAAGUCC